This 357-nucleotide unclassified non-coding RNA is filed under the name soil metagenome. Its description in RNAcentral is "partial contains 5.8S ribosomal RNA, internal transcribed spacer 2, and large subunit ribosomal RNA". The stretch from base 1 to 120 matches the Rfam family "5.8S ribosomal RNA", at positions 35 to 154 of the family's 154-position model. The record is from RNAcentral.
GAUGAAGAACGCAGCGAAAUGCGAUAAGUAAUGUGAAUUGCAGAAUUCCGUGAAUCAUCGAAUCUUUGAACGCACAUUGCGCCCUCUGGUAUUCCGGGGGGCAUGCCUGUCCGAGCGUCAUUGCAAACCCUCAAGCCCGGCUUGUGUGAUGGGUCCCGCGUCCGCCUUCCGGGGCGGACGGGCCCGAAACGCAGUGGCGGCGUCGCGGUAAUCCGAUCAGCCAGAGCGUAUGGGGCUUUGUCACCCGCUCCCGUAGGUCCAGCUGGCAGCUAGCCUCGCAACCAAUCUUUUUAACCAGGUUGACCUCGGAUCAGGUAGGGAUACCCGCUGAACUUAAGCAUAUCAAUAAGCGGAGGA